GUGCUUGCUAUGGAAGCAUAUUCACUAAAAUUGGAAUGGUAACAGAGAAGAUUAGCAUGGCUCCUGUGCAAGGACAACAUGUAAAUUUGUGAAGCAUUCCAUUUUUUU
This is a small nuclear RNA of Nannospalax galili (Upper Galilee mountains blind mole rat), 108 nucleotides long. Lineage: Eukaryota; Metazoa; Chordata; Mammalia; Rodentia; Spalacidae. The record is from Ensembl.